ACACGACUACAUUAGAUACCCCUGUAGUCCUAGCCGUAAACGAUACUCGCUAGGUGUCGGCCACGGUGCGACCGUUGUCGGUGCCGUAGGGAAGCCGUGAAGCGAGCCACCUGGGAAGUACGGCCGCAAGGCUGAAACUUAAAGGAAUUGGCGGGGGAGCACCACAACGGGUGGAGCCUGUGGUUUAAUUGGAUUCAACGCCGGAAAUCUUACCGGGACCGACAGCAACAUGAAGGCCAGGCUGAAGACUUUGCCGGAUUAGCUG
This 265-nucleotide ribosomal RNA is filed under the name uncultured archaeon. RNAcentral describes it as "partial 16S ribosomal RNA". It matches the Rfam family "Archaeal small subunit ribosomal RNA", at positions 717 to 982 of the family's 1478-position model. The record is from RNAcentral.